This 308-nucleotide ribosomal RNA is filed under the name uncultured bacterium. RNAcentral describes it as "partial 16S ribosomal RNA". It matches the Rfam family "Bacterial small subunit ribosomal RNA", at positions 505 to 807 of the family's 1533-position model. The record is from RNAcentral.
GAGACAGCAGUCGCCGCGGUAAUACGAAGGGGGCUAGCGUUGCUCGGAAUGACUGGGCGUAAAGGGCGCGUAGGCGGAUGGCACAGUCAGAUGUGAAAUUCCCGGGCUUAACCUGGGGGCUGCAUUUGAUACGUGUUGUCUAGAGUGAGGAAGAGGGUUGUGGAAUUCCCAGUGUAGAGGUGAAAUUCGUAGAUAUUGGGAAGAACACCGGUGGCGAAGGCGGCAACCUGGUCCUUGACUGACGCUGAGGCGCGAAAGCGUGGGGAGCAAACAGGAUUAGAUACCCCCGUAGUCCCUGUCUCUUAUAC